Molecule: ribosomal RNA, 427 nt
Filed under: uncultured Bacillota bacterium
Lineage: Bacteria; Bacillati; Bacillota
Description: bacterial SSU rRNA
Rfam family: Bacterial small subunit ribosomal RNA
Source: RNAcentral
ACCGGAUAGGACGAAAGUUUAAAGGUGCUUCGGCACCACUGAUGGAUGAGCCUGCGGCGCAUUUAGCUAGUUGGUAGGGUAAAGGCCUACCAAGGCGACGAUGCGUAGCCGACCUGAGAGGGUGAACGGCCACACUGGGACUGAGACACGGCCCAGACUCCUACGGGAGGCAGCAGUAGGGAAUCUUCGGCAAUGGGCGAAAGCCUGACCGAGCAACGCCGCGUGAAUGAUGAAGGCCUUCGGGUUGUAAAAUUCUGUUAUAAGGGAAGAAUGGCUCUAGUAGGAAAUGGCUAGAGUGUGACGGUACCUUAUGAGAAAGCCACGGCUAAAUACGUGCCAGCAGCCGCGGUAAUACGUAGGUGGCGAGCGUUAUCCGGAAUUAUUGGGCGUAAAGAGCGCGCAGGUGGUUGAUUAAGUCUGAUGUGAA